CACAACCGUAGUUGUGGAUUUCAGGGCCUAACUUUGAUCGUCCGUCUUAUUUAAAAUAUUUUUAUGAUUAGUAUUUUUAUUGUUAUUAGAUGAUAAAAUAUGAAUAGUACUUUAUGCGUGAUUUAACUUUUAAAAUUUUUUCAUAAAUUUUUCAAAUAAGACAGACGAUUAAAUAUUGAGUACGAAAAUUUAUGGCGACACUUAUA
This is a microRNA precursor of Oryza sativa Japonica Group (Japanese rice), 206 nucleotides long. It matches the Rfam family "MIR812 microRNA precursor family". NCBI's taxonomy places the organism in Eukaryota, Viridiplantae, Streptophyta, Magnoliopsida, Poales, Poaceae. The record is from Rfam.